This 267-nucleotide ribosomal RNA is filed under the name uncultured bacterium. RNAcentral describes it as "partial 16S ribosomal RNA". It matches the Rfam family "Bacterial small subunit ribosomal RNA", at positions 524 to 788 of the family's 1533-position model. The record is from RNAcentral.
UACGUAGGGUGCGAGCGUUAAUCGGAAUUACUGGGCGUAAAGCGUGCGCAGGCGGUUUUGUAAGCCAGAUGUGAAAUCCCCCGGGCUUAACCUGGGAAUGGCAUUUGGGACUGCAAGGCUUGAGUGCGGCAGAGGAGACUGGAAUUCCUGGUGUAGCAGUGAAAUGCGUAGAUAUCAGGAGGAACACCGAUGGCGAAGGCAGGUCUCUGGGCUGACACUGACGCUCAUGCACGAAAGCGUGGGGAGCAAACAGGAUUAGAGUACCCC